CACACAGUUCGUCCCUGAUCCAGUGAGAGAGGAGACUACGUAAAUGGCAUAUGGAUACCAGGAGCUGAGGAUCACUGGGGGCUGACUUAGAUGCUGAUUGCCAGGGAAAACGGGAAGAGAAUUACUGAAAUAAUGCCCUUGCAUGGGCACAAGCACAUGGGAUCUAGCACAGAAGCAGAGGGAAUAGCCCUUGUUAGGUGCAGAGAAGUCAUUGAUAGGAAGAGUGUAUCGGUGCAAUUGCAAAAGGGUGAGAAGUGGGAAUUUGACCACACUCUUUUCUGGCUUUUUGUUUUUUUCUGCUUCUCAGUGAGAUAGAAAACAAGGUCAUAGGCUAAGAAUGAGGACUGGGAAGAGGUUUUUGAGGUUCAUAUUUCAAAGUUUUCAGUAUCACUCAAGUGAUACGGUGGUCGUUGUCAUAUUACUUGUUUCAUUAUAUUAGUAAGAAGAAAAACCCCUCUUUUUGACCAUUGUUGUACUCUAAGAGGCACAGACCACAUUUUAGUACAGUGAAAGGAAACCAACUCUGUUUUUUUUUUUUUUGUUUUUCAUUUUAAAGUCUGAUUUUUUCCUCUUUGGUCUCAAGACCUUUCUAUGUUUAUAAUAUAGAAACUUUUAUCUGUAAACAUACUUUGUUUUGCAAUUAGGUUAUUUUCUUUACUUCUGCUUAUGGAAUAGGAUAAAAUACAGACAGAUCAAUGUGCUUAAAGGAGACUCUAAAAUGUGGGACAUGUUUUUUUCCUAGCCCAAUCAGCCUGAGACCAUAUGGGACAAACCUUACACUAAAUAAGCCAGAUGUACAGACUCAUUGAGAUGUGGGAGACAGCACAACAAAGGAAUUGUGGGAUGUUUCAGCAAAGGAAGGAAAAGAGUUAAGGAUUUUACCAAAGAUUGGAGUUUGGGUGCAGUGUAAAUGCAACAGUGUUUUGAUGGGCAGUAUGUAAAGGGACCAAUAUCAGUUCUGGACUGUGAAAUGUACCUUUUUUUUUCUUUUCCUUUUUAAGUAGGCUUCAUGCCCAGUGAGGAGCCCAAGUUGGGGCUUGAACUCACAACCCUGAGAUCAAGACCUGAGCUGAGAUCAAGAGUUGGACACUUAACCAACUGAGCCAUCCAGAUGCGAAAGAGGGAUCACGCAGUCUGCUGUUUCUUCAAGAAGCCACCUUGUGAUCAGGAGGAAAGUCAGCCAAGGAUACAGCCAAAAAGACCACAAAGAAACUUAGCCAGACAUGGCUGAACUGAGCUAAAGCCUACUCUACCUCUGGAUAUUUGAGGGAAACUAGCCAAUAAAAUUCUUUUUGUGGAAGCUUGA
This is a long non-coding RNA of Felis catus (domestic cat), 1306 nucleotides long. RefSeq lists it as uncharacterized. The record is from RefSeq and is a predicted model, not a curated record. NCBI's taxonomy places the organism in Eukaryota, Metazoa, Chordata, Mammalia, Carnivora, Felidae. The transcript is spliced from 2 exons.